CAGCAAAAACAGUGGCUAUCACCAGUCCUGCCUGAAAGAAGUCCAGUAAAAGACCAUCAACAACCAAAAAGCAGAACAGAUACAGAUGGAGCCAAAGGGUGAGAAAGACUCCCUAUACCUCCUCUUUGCCUGAAGGAGCAGACUGCUGGUGCGCCAAGCGUUUUACAAACAGCUGAAAUCUGUCUUCCUGUAACUUGAGCCCAUUGUUCCGUAUCCUGCACCCUGGGAUGAUCGAGAAGAGACCUUGGCCUUCCUCUGUGUGACAACCUUUCAAGUACUUGAAGAGUGCUAUUAUAUUAUGAGGGGAGCCUCAGUCUUCUCAAGGCUACACAUGCCCAGUCUCUCCCCAUAGGGCUUUAUUUCCUGUCCCCUGAUCAUCCAUGUUGCCCUCCAUGUUGUUCCUCUAAACACUUUGUCUACAUCCUUCUUAAAGUGUGGUGUGUCCAGAACUGGACACAGUAUGCAAGAUGUGACCUAACUAGUGCCAAGCAGAGGUAGAACUAGUACUUCACAUUAUUUGGAAAUUAUACUUCUGUUAAUGCAGCCUAAAAUAGCAUUUGCCUUUUUUGCAGCCACAUUGCACUACUGGCUCAUAUUCAGCUUUUGGUCAACAACAAUCCCAAGAUCCUUCUCACAUGUAGUAUUGCUGAGCCAAGUAUCUCCCAUCUUAUAACUGUGCACUUACCUAGGAGCAUUUCUAUGUUGUAUGUCAUGUUCAAAUAAAUUCACCACAACAAAUCUUUUUUUAAAAAAACCUGCAGAACUUUAAAGAUUUCCCAUGCAUAAUGCAAAUUUCACUGAAUUAUGCCAAAAUUUUUUUUAAAAGUUUUAGGUGUCACCUUUUUCAUUAAAAAAAAUAAAGAAAAUCUCUCACACUUUAAAAACUCAUUGCACAAAACCCACUUCACUUACCUGUCUUAAAUUUGGCAAGAAUCUUCCCACAGAAGGGGCUAUUAUGCCUACAAAGUGCAAUUUUGGCAAAACAUCAGACAUUAUAGCCAUUUGUUGACUUCUCCCUUACAGACAAAGGGGAGAUAUCCAGAGCUUCGGGUUUUCAGAAUCUGAGAUGGAGUGGAUGUUGUCUAAAUCAGUUGAAAAUGAAUCAGCCUCCUGCCCAUAACAUUACAGUGGCAUCUGAAGCUAUCUCUUCCCCCCUGCCCCAUGCAAACCCCUGUUAGCAGUUCUGCCUUGUGUUUUGCGUUUUUUUGGUUACAUCAGUGUGUGACACAACCUAUAUAAUCACGAAUCUCUACUUCAGGAACCUCCCUGAAAUUUCAUGAGUUGCAUGGCUGAUGUGGCUGAUACUUGUUUACACAGGCUGACUUGCAGCAAUGGAUUUCUUUUGCUAGAGGGGAGGACAGGCAAGAAGCAGCAAAACAUACACAUUUAUGUAUUUCCUCCCUUUCAUUUCCAUUUUUAAGUAAACAUUCCCCACCAUCACUGAAGAGAUGAAUUGCCUGUUAUGUGAUAGCUUUAAAAUAUAUUAAACACAAUAAAUCUUUGCCUGCAAGGAUAGUAUUCAGCAGACACUGGGUUUGAAAAAGGGGAUGGCGGUGAUUUUUUUUUUUAAUGUGAAGAAAUUUAGUCCAGUCAUGAUUUAAACAAACCAACACACUUGUUAUAAGCAUCACACAGAUACAACAUUUUAGCUGGGGCAAAAGUAAAAAUACUGCUCACUGGUCUAAUUUACAGCUAAGAUAUAGCGAAAGGGAAGGGACAGCAAGAGUUUAAGAAAAAUAUAUCAAAAGCAUACGUUAAGUAUAAUUAACAGCUGAAAACAGAAACUGAGAGAAGAAUCUUUUAACCCCCCAAUAGUAUAUUGAAAAAACACACAUUAAUACUUUAUUGUAUUAUUAUUAUAUUAUGCAUAAUAUAAUAUAAUAUUAUUAUAUUAUUUAUAAUAUAUUAUUAUAUUAUUAAAUAUAACAAAUAUUAUUCAAGCUGAGUGUGGGAUUCUGUGUGUCUCAGCUGGCCAUUCCGCAGGACUUUCAGUGUAAGUGUUAUUCUAGAAGUGUCUAUUGACCAUUGGCUCUCCAGACAUUGCUGAACAACAAAUCCCAUCAUGCCUUGCCAUUGGCUAUGCUCGCUGGGGCUGAUGGAAGGCCAAAGGUUCCCCCACACCAGUGAUGACUACUCACAUGAAGACUGAUGCCUUGUUCAGGUAAGACAGAGAAAGUGUAGGAGAAAAACAUGGGGUGGAGGAAUCAAACCAUGAGAAAAACUUGGUCAGGAAGGAGCCGUGAAUGAGGAAAUUGCUGCUGCAGACUCGGAUACAUUGGCUUACUACACUGAUGGCACUGCAGGCAUGAAUAUAGUCAAACUUGGCUUCCAGCCAGCAUGUCCAUUGCUGGAAGUGAGGCUACAUCAUACAUUUAAAACACAUAACUUAGUUCAACAAAUUUUAGGACCUGUAGUUUGUGAAGGGUGGUGGGAAUGGUAGCACAGUGACAGAUAAACUAAAGUUCCCAAGAUGCUUUGGGGGAAGGCAUGUGCUGUAAAUUUAUGAUGUGUACACAGCCUGAGAUAGCCCCAUAUACUAUGAAGCAGUAUAAAAGGAGGCAUGGUGUUUACAAAGAUGUCUGAAAUGAUUCAUGUGGCAUUCAGCGCUUUACAGGGGAAGCCUUGCAUUAAAAGGGUGGUGGUAAGUGUGAUAGAAAUACAUAAAUGUGUAUCACAUAGGAAUUCACUCAGGAGCACCAUUAGGGUGCAGUUAAAACUGCCCCAUGCCUCUAAUGAUCCCAGUUAUUAAGAAUCAAGCCGAAUCCUCUCUGCAUUGGCCUAUCCUGGGCAUGGUAGGAUUUGAGGAAACACUGAAACAGUGGACAAAAUUCUAGGAAUUGGAUUUGAGAUACUACAUAGACCGACAAAUAACCAACGUUAGAGCCUGGUCCAUUAGAGUGAAUGGGCACUGCCCAAUCAACAUGAACCUGCCCCCCUUUCCCUACAUUCAUACCUAUAGCAAAUCAGGGGAUGGCUUUUUCUGUCAUUGGCUCUGGCUUCACCUACUGUUGGUCUCCCUGCCUAUCACCCUGCCAGUCCCAGUGGGCAUGAGCCACCACUGAUAACCAUGUUGAAAGCAAAUAGUUAACCCACUUCUCUCUAUGUGUGUGCUCCUCUACCAUCCUAUUUAUUUACUCUCAUGUAAACACAGGGUUGCACUGAGAUGCAUAGUCAGUGGCACACAUAUUCAUCUCAACUGCCCUGUCACUUUGUGCCUAGAAUGUGCAGGGUGGCUUUCCUGCCAGACUGUGUAGCGUCAACCAUGUAGCUAUUUGAGAUUACCUAAAUAAUCCAAUUUGUGGGAAAGCAGCUAAGGGGGAACAGUACAAAUCCUGUAUUCAUCUCAAGAAUAGAGUGUCAGUAGAAAAAUCUAUUAAUUUCCCUGCAAAGGUGGAACAGCACAGAUAAGAAAGACUAGGGACACAAAAGCUGCCGUUCUGGACUACAGCUAUGUACAACUCAUUGCCUUAGGCUAGUCCAUAUCUGAGCAAACAUGUCCUGAAGUAACAAUGUGUCUCCUCAAAGGACAUGUUUUUGUCAAGCUUCUGGCUACUUGUCCUUUUUAUUUUCCCCUCUCCCUCUGAUGAAUUUGUGUUUGUACAUGGCCAAAUGGUAAUUUGAGUUUGCAUUAUCUCUACCUAGAAGCUAAGAUUUUGCUGGGGAAUGUCUUCUGUUUUCCUGACAAGCUCUUUGCAGACUCCAGAAGUGUCAACCCAUCUCAAGCUGCCAAGUGCCAGCCCUUAAGGCAAUAUUGACACCAAAAGGGAAUUGCAGAGAGUUGUGAUUUGUUUUCCCAUGACAUGCCACUGAAGAACAAGGAUCACUUUCAAAUACAUAUAUAUAUAUCUGCCCCUGAAAAAUACAGUCAGAUGAAUUUCAGCAAAUAUAUUGGAGCAACUGAAAAUGACUACUAUCUGUACCAGUAGGUUGGUGGCAUUUAAUUAAAUAAUGCUUUCCAGCAGCAUGCCUGGACAUCCCCCUGUGACAGAGCCUUGGCCAAGAACUGUACUUGUUAAGAAUCCUAUUUCACAACAUGCUGCAAAUGUGGUUUGAACAUCUCCCCACAUUCUACUCAUUCAUCAAUUGGGCCACAGGGGUAAGACUAGAGGGGAGUUCCCCAAAGAAGUUUAUUUCAAAAAGAAAUAACACACACACAUACUUUGGGAUACAGAGCGGGAUGAAUAGUGGAUGACUUAAUGUAACACAGACUCUAAUACAUUUUGAACCUACUGGCACAAUUAGUAAGUUUAUGCACAUGCAAUAUGAACUGCUAUAGAAGAACAUUCUGAUAGUACAGGCUGCAGCCCAUUCUGUGGGAGGGGAGCCAACCAACUAACCCAGUGGCUUCCAAACGUUUCCCCCCCCCCCCGAUUACUUCAGAACUGCUGAAGGUCUUGAUUUUUCUGCCUGCUCUAGGAAUUGUAAUGUG
Molecule: long non-coding RNA, 4429 nt
Organism: Rhineura floridana
Lineage: Eukaryota; Metazoa; Chordata; Lepidosauria; Squamata; Rhineuridae
Exons: 3
Source: RefSeq, a predicted model, not a curated record